CACGGAAGUUUUCAGAGAUGAGAAUGUGCCUUCGGGAACCGUGAGACAGGUGCUGCAUGGCUGUCGUCAGCUCGUGUUGUGAAAUGUUGGGUUAAGUCCCGCAACGAGCGCAACCCUUAUCCUUUGUUGCCAGCGGUCCGGCCGGGAACUCAAAGGAGACUGCCAGUGAUAAACUGGAGGAAGGUGGGGAUGACGUCAAGUCAUCAUGGCCCUUACGACCAGGGCUACACACGUGCUACAAUGGCGCAUACAAAGAGAAGCGACCUCGCGAGAGCAAGCGGACCUCAUAAAGUGCGUCGUAGUCCGGAUUGGAGUCUGCAACUCGACUCCAUGAAGUCGGAAUCGCUAGUAAUCGUGGAUCAGAAUGCCACGGUGAAUACGUUCCCGGGCCUUGUACACACCGCCCGUCACACCAUGGGAGUGGGUUGCAAAAGAAGUAGGUAGCUUAACCUUCGGGAGGGCGCUUACCACUUUGUGAUUCAUGACUGGGGUGAAGUCGUAACAAGGUAACCGUAGGGGAACCUGCGGUUGGAUCACCUCCUUACCUUAAAGAAGC
RNAcentral lists this ribosomal RNA (556 nucleotides) under Shigella flexneri. RNAcentral's name for it is "bacterial SSU rRNA". It matches the Rfam family "Bacterial small subunit ribosomal RNA", at positions 989 to 1533 of the family's 1533-position model. The record is from RNAcentral. Lineage: Bacteria; Pseudomonadati; Pseudomonadota; Gammaproteobacteria; Enterobacterales; Enterobacteriaceae. RNAcentral also lists the same sequence under 1 other name.